UAUAAGCAUUAUACAGCGAAACUGCGAAUGGCUCAUUAUAUAAGUUAUCGUUUAUUUGAUAGUACCUUACUACUUGGAUAACCGUGGUAAUUCUAGAGCUAAUACAUGCUAAAAAUCCCGACUUCGGAAGGGAUGUAUUUAUUAGAUUAAAAACCAAUGCCCUCUGGGCUUCCUUUUGGUUCUUUUAAUUUUCCGAAUCGCAUGGCCUUGCGCCGGCGAUGGUUCAUCAAAUUUCUUCCCUAUCAACUUUCGAUGUUUGGGUAUUGGCCAAACAUGGUCGCAACGGGUAACGGAGGGUUAGGGCUCGACCCCGGAGAAGGAGCCUGAGAAACGGCUACUACAUCCAAGGAAGGCAGCAGGCGCGCAAAUUACCCAAUCCCGAUUCGGGGAGGUAGUGACAAUAAAUACUGAUACAGGGCUCUUUUGGGUCUUGUAAUUGGAAUGAGUACAAUUUAAAUCCCUUAACGAGGAACAAUUGGAGGGCAAGUCUGGUGCCAGCAGCCGCGGUAAUUCCAGCUCCAAUAGCGUAUAUUAAAGUUGUUGUGGUUAAAAAGCUCGUAGUUGAACCUUGGGCCUGGCUGGCCGGUUCCGGCCUUCACCCGGCGUGUUAAUGGUUCCGGGCCGGGGCCUUUUUCCCUUUGUUGGAAACCUUCAUGGCCCUUUCAAUGGGUUUUUGCCGGGGAAAACCAGGAAUUUUUUACUUUUGAAAAAAAAUUAGAAGUGCUUCCAGGGCAGGGCCUAUGGCUUGGAAUAACCUUUAGGCCUGGGAAUAAAUAAAAAUUGGGAACGUGUGGGUUUCUAUUUUUGUUGGGUUUCUAGGAACCGCCCGUAAAUGAUUAAUAGGGAACCGUUCGGGGGGCAUUCCGUAUUUCAAUUGUUCGGAGGUGAAAUUUUUGGAUUUAUUGAAGGCUAAAUAAUGGGAAAGCCUUUGCCAAGGAAGUUUUCCUUAAUCCGGAAAGAAAGUUAGGGGAUUGAAGGCGAUCCGAUACCGUUGUAGUUUUAACCCUAAAAUAUGCCGAAUUGGGAUGGACGAUGUUAUUUUUUGAAGCGUUUGGCCCCUUACGAGAAAUCAAAGUGGUUGGGGUCCCGGGGGAGUAUGGUUGCAAGGGUGAAAAUUAAAGAAAUUGACGGAAGGGCACCCCCCGGGGGGGAGCCUGCGGCUUAAUUUGACUCAACCCGGGGAAACUCACCCGGUCCCGACCCAAUGAGGAUUGACCGAUUGAGAGCUUUUUUUUGAUUUUGUGGGUGGUGGUGCAUGGCCGUUUUUAGUUGGUGGAAUGAAUUGUUUGGUUAAUUGCGAUAACGAACGAGACCUUAACCUGGUAAAUAGCCCGUAUUGCUUUGGCAGUACGCCGGGUUUUUAGAGGGACUAUUGGCUCAAGCCGAUGGAAGUUUGAGGCAAUAACCGGUUUGUGAUGCCCUUAGAUGUUUUGGGCCGCACGCGCGGUACCAUGACGGAGCCAACGAGUAAUUCCUUGGCCGAAAGGCCCGGGUAAUUUUGUUAAAAUUCCGUGU
This 1515-nucleotide ribosomal RNA is filed under the name Cordyceps javanica. RNAcentral's name for it is "SSU rRNA". It matches the Rfam family "Eukaryotic small subunit ribosomal RNA", at positions 64 to 1568 of the family's 1831-position model. The record is from RNAcentral. Lineage: Eukaryota; Fungi; Ascomycota; Sordariomycetes; Hypocreales; Cordycipitaceae.